UCUGUUCUCUUUCAGCUCUUUCCUCUUUGUUUCUGAUCUCCCACUAUUUUGCUUUAUCAAUCAGCCUAGACAAGGUGGGGACGUCUACUGCCAGUACUGCAUUAUAAAGUGGAGAAAUCAAACCCCGCCUGAAUCUUUCUAUCCUGGCAGCUUCAGUGGGGAUGAUGUAAGGAGCAUACUUCCCCAAUCUAGUGAACUCACGAGCAUACUCAGAUAUGCUCAU
RNAcentral lists this long non-coding RNA (223 nucleotides) under Phoenix dactylifera (date palm). RNAcentral describes it as "long non-coding RNA (PDAC_LNC014752)". Lineage: Eukaryota; Viridiplantae; Streptophyta; Magnoliopsida; Arecales; Arecaceae. The record is from RNAcentral.